RNAcentral lists this transfer RNA (66 nucleotides) under Anablepsoides hartii. Its description in RNAcentral is "tRNA-Cys". The record is from RNAcentral. Lineage: Eukaryota; Metazoa; Chordata; Actinopteri; Cyprinodontiformes; Rivulidae.
AGCCUUGAAGUAUCACUACGCUAGAUUGCAAAUCUAGAAAAGCAGGUUAAGCGCCGGCCGGGGCUU